Molecule: ribosomal RNA, 301 nt
Filed under: uncultured bacterium
Lineage: Bacteria
Description: partial 16S ribosomal RNA
Rfam family: Bacterial small subunit ribosomal RNA
Source: RNAcentral
CAGUAGCCGCGGUAAUACGUAGGGUGCAAGCGUUAAUCGGAAUUACUGGGCGUAAAGCGUGCGCAGGCGGUUUGUUAAGACAGAUGUGAAAUCCCCGGGCUCAACCUGGGAACUGCAUUUGUGACUGGCAGGCUAGAGUAUGGCAGAGGGGGGUGGAAUUCCGCGUGUAGCAGUGAAAUGCGUAGAUAUGCGGAGGAACACCGAUGGCGAAGGCAGCCCCCUGGGCCAAUACUGACGCUCAUGCACGAAAGCGUGGGGAGCAAACAGGAUUAGAUACCCCCGUAGUCCCUGUCUCUUAUCA